Molecule: ribosomal RNA, 430 nt
Filed under: uncultured bacterium
Lineage: Bacteria
Description: bacterial SSU rRNA
Rfam family: Bacterial small subunit ribosomal RNA
Source: RNAcentral
AACGAACGCUGGCGGCAUGCCUAACACAUGCAAGUCGAACGCUCGCAAGAGAGUGGCGGACGGGUGCGUAACACGUGGGAACCUGCCUUUGGGUACGGAACAACACCGGGAAACUGGUGCUAAAUACCGUAUAAUGUCUACGGACCAAAGAUUUAUCGCCUGAAGAGGGGCCCGCGUUGGAUUAGCUUGUUGGUGAGGUAAAGGCUCACCAAGGCGAUGAUCCAUAGCUGGUCCGAGAGGAUGAUCAGCCACACUGGGACUGAGACACGGCCCAGACUCCUACGGGAGGCAGCAGUGGGGAAUAUUGGACAAUGGGCGAAAGCCUGAUCCAGCAAUGCCGCGUGAGUGAAGAAGGCCUUAGGGUUGUAAAGCUCUUUCGUCCACGACGAUAAUGACGGUAGCGGAAGAAGAAGCCCCGGCUAACUCCGUG